GACGAACCGUGCGAACGUUAUUCGGAAUCACUGGGCUUAAAGGGCGCGUAGGCGGGCGACCAAGUCAGGGGUGAAAUCGUUCGGCCCAACCGGACAAGGGCCCCUGAUACUGGUUGUCUCGAGGGAGGUAGGGGUCGAUGGAACUUCCGGUGGAGCGGUGAAAUGCGUAGAUAUCGGAAGGAACGCCGGUGGCGAAAGCGAUCGACUGGACCUCUUCUGACGCUGAGGCGCGAAAGCGUGGGGAGCGAACAGG
This 253-nucleotide ribosomal RNA is filed under the name uncultured bacterium. Its description in RNAcentral is "partial 16S ribosomal RNA". It matches the Rfam family "Bacterial small subunit ribosomal RNA", at positions 524 to 776 of the family's 1533-position model. The record is from RNAcentral.